AUGUCCGGCGUGGCGGAGAGCGGACAUGGGCCCCGUGUGAUGGAAGGUGCGCGGACAGGAUUUUACCUCGGAUUCAGACACGACAUCCUGCGGGCAACGGCUGGUUUGGGCUCCGGGGCCACGUGGUGGGGGAGUGGAGCGCUGUUGAGAGCAGUCGGCAGGAGCUCAGUCGCCUGGUUCAACUCGACGCUCCAACUCCCCAACAUGAAGGCGUUGGCGACUGUCAUUUUAUUGACCUCCUUUCUCGGUGAAGCGGUGCCUCAGGAAUUGAUACAGACUCCAUUAUUCAUUGUCAAAGAUGUCAGAAAAACUGUGCGCUUUGACUGUAAGGUUAACAAUAUAGAUAUCAAGGAAGCUUAUAUUCAUUGGUACCGGCAGAGGCCGCGAGAGGGACCGCAGCGGCUAUUGUAUUUUAAGAGUGAAGGUGAAAUGCAGAAGGAUGUGUCCGACGCAAGGUUAUUUGUUGAAAAAGCAGCUGAUUCAAAAUCGUGCACUCUGAUCCUGAAGAAUAUCAAGGCGGAUGAUUCUGGCACCUAUUACUGCGCUUACUGGCAACACAGUGGCCGAUUGCAACGGGAAGCCAGUACAUAA
Pristis pectinata (smalltooth sawfish) is the source of this 591-nucleotide non-coding RNA. Lineage: Eukaryota; Metazoa; Chordata; Chondrichthyes; Rhinopristiformes; Pristidae. The record is from the annotation of a RefSeq genome assembly.